CCUACGGGAGGCAGCAGUGGGGAAUAUUGGGCAAUGGGCGCAAGCCUGACCCAGCAACGCCGCGUGAAGGAAGACGGCUUUCUGGUUGUAAACUUCUUUUUUCAGGGACGAAGCCCGUGACGGUUCCUUUCGACUAAGCCACGGCUAACUACGUGCCAGCAGCCGCGGUAAUACGUAGGUGGCAAGCGUUAUCCGGAUUUACUGGGUGUAAAGGGCGUGUAGGCGGGACUGCAAGUCAGAUGUGAAAACCACGGGCUCAACCUGUGGCCUGCAUUUGAAACUGUAGUUCUUGAGUGCUGGAGAGGCAGACGGAAUUCCUGGUGUAGCGGUGAAAUGCGUAGAUAUUAGAAGGAACACCAGUGGCGAAGGCAGUCUGCUAAACAGCAACUGACGCUGAGGCGCGAAAGCGUGGGGAGCAAACAGGAUUAGAUACCCGAGUAGUC
Molecule: ribosomal RNA, 443 nt
Filed under: uncultured bacterium
Lineage: Bacteria
Description: partial 16S ribosomal RNA
Rfam family: Bacterial small subunit ribosomal RNA
Source: RNAcentral